This 446-nucleotide unclassified non-coding RNA is filed under the name Priapulus caudatus. Its description in RNAcentral is "kIF1-binding protein homolog, transcript variant X2". The record is from RNAcentral. Lineage: Eukaryota; Metazoa; Priapulida; Priapulimorpha; Priapulimorphida; Priapulidae.
CUACUAGUACUAGUAGUAGUAGUAAGAGUAAGAGAGAGAGAGUUCGAGAGUAGGUUACUACUAAUAGGGCCUACUAGGUACGUCAACAACAGCUGAACCGAACCGUGCACACUCCCCUGUAAAACUCUGCCGUGCGGCAGAUUUCCUGGGCGGACAUGGCACCCGCCCCGGUUGGUGGUGAGGAGGAGAACCGGCCACCCGUGGAUGAGCACCCGAAUCGCGAGGCGAAGCCCCAGGAGGUGGCUGCUCCCCGAGCAUCCACGAGUGUGGAUUGGCGCACCAUCAUCUGGGGUAACCCGGUGGCUGCGACCGAGGCAGUCAGGAGGGGUAACCCGGUGGCUGCGACCGAGGCAGUCAGGAGGGGUAACCCGGUGGCUGCUCCCCGAGCAUCCACGAGUGUGGAUUGGUGCGCCGUCAUUGUGGCUGCGACCGAGGCAGCCAGGAGG